RNAcentral lists this ribosomal RNA (466 nucleotides) under uncultured bacterium. RNAcentral describes it as "partial 16S ribosomal RNA". It matches the Rfam family "Bacterial small subunit ribosomal RNA", at positions 28 to 507 of the family's 1533-position model. The record is from RNAcentral.
GAUGAACGCUGGCGGCGUGCUUAACACAUGCAAGUCGAACGAUGAAGCCCAGCUUGCUGGGUGGAUUAGUGGCGAACGGGUGAGUAACACGUGAGUAACCUGCCCUUAACUCUGGGAUAAGCCUGGGAAACUGGGUCUAAUACCGGAUAGGAGCGUCCACCGCAUGGUGGGUGUUGGAAAGAUUUAUCGGUUUUGGAUGGACUCGCGGCCUAUCCGCUUGUUGGUGAGGUAAUGGCUCACCAAGGCGACGACGGGUAGCCGGCCUGAGAGGGUGAACGGCCACACUGGGACUGAGACACGGCCCAGACUCCUACGGGAGGCAGCAGUGGGGAAUAUUGCACAAUGGGCGCAAGCCUGAUGCAGAGACGCCGCGUGAGGGAUGACGGCCUUCGGGGUGUAAACCUCUUUCAGUAGGGAAGAAGCGAAAGUGACGGUACCUGCAGAAGAAGCACCGGCUAACUACGUG